UACGCAUAGUUUAUUUUCGAGUUUUCUUUCUUAGUUAGUUUAACCUUUUAUAUUUUAAGUACGUUUGUUUGGUUUUUCAUGUAAGGGAUGUUAACUUUAAAUUUUGAUCUCGCUUCCGCAUUCGAUAUAUUUAAAUACUCAUUUCAUUUUAAUAUUUUCCGGGGCCGUUACAUAUAGUUUAUAAGUAAACAAUUUUUUUUUGUUAAUUUUAGUUUUAGCUAU
Molecule: long non-coding RNA, 222 nt
Filed under: Carica papaya (papaya)
Lineage: Eukaryota; Viridiplantae; Streptophyta; Magnoliopsida; Brassicales; Caricaceae
Description: long non-coding RNA (CPAP_LNC006982)
Source: RNAcentral